RNAcentral lists this ribosomal RNA (301 nucleotides) under uncultured bacterium. RNAcentral's name for it is "partial 16S ribosomal RNA". It matches the Rfam family "Bacterial small subunit ribosomal RNA", at positions 509 to 809 of the family's 1533-position model. The record is from RNAcentral.
CAGUAGCCACGGUAAAACGAAGGGGGCUCGCGUUGUUCGGAUUUACUGGGCGUAAGACGCACGUAGGCGGAUCGAUCAGUCAGGGGCGAAAUCCCAGAGCUCAACUCUGGAACUGCCUUUGAUACUGUCGAUCUGGAGUAUGGAAGAGGUGAGUGGAAUUCCGAGUGUAGAGGUGAAAUUCGUAGAUAUUCGGAGGAACACCAGUGGCGAAGGCGGCUCACUGGUCCAUUACUGACGCUGAGGUGCGAAAGCGUGGGGAGCAAACAGGAUUAGAUACCCGUGUAGUCCCUGUCUCUUAUAA